GUCCGGAUUGGAGUCUGCAACUCGACUCCAUGAAGUCGGAAUCGCUAGUAAUCGUAGAUCAGAAUGCUACGGUGAAUACGUUCCCGGGCCUUGUACACACCGCCCGUCACACCAUGGGAGUGGGUUGCAAAAGAAGUAGGUAGCUUAACCUUCGGGAGGGCGCUUACCACUUUGUGAUUCAUGACUGGGGUGAAGUCGUAACAAGGUAACCGUAGGGGAACCUGCGGUUGGAUCACCUCCUUA
Molecule: ribosomal RNA, 243 nt
Filed under: Klebsiella pneumoniae
Lineage: Bacteria; Pseudomonadati; Pseudomonadota; Gammaproteobacteria; Enterobacterales; Enterobacteriaceae
Also listed under: 2 other names
Description: partial 16S ribosomal RNA
Rfam family: Bacterial small subunit ribosomal RNA
Source: RNAcentral